RNAcentral lists this ribosomal RNA (494 nucleotides) under uncultured bacterium. Its description in RNAcentral is "partial 16S ribosomal RNA". It matches the Rfam family "Bacterial small subunit ribosomal RNA", at positions 29 to 507 of the family's 1533-position model. The record is from RNAcentral.
ACGAACGCUGGCGGCGUGCCUAAUACCUGCAAGUAGAACGCUGAAGGAGGAGCUUGCUCUUCUGGAUGAGUUGCGAACGGGUGAGUAACGCGUAGGUAACCUGCCUGGUAGCGGGGGAUAACUAUUGGAAACGAUAGCUAAUACCGCAUAACAUUGACUAUUGCAUGAUAGUCAAUUAAAAGGUGCAAAUGCACCACUACCAGAUGGACCUGCGUUGUAUUAGCUAGUUGGUGGGGUAACGGCUCACCAAGGCGACGAUACAUAGCCGACCUGAGAGGGUGAUCGGCCACACUGGGACUGAGACACGGCCCAGACUCCUACGGGAGGCAGCAGUAGGGAAUCUUCGGCAAUGGACGGAAGUCUGACCGAGCAACGCCGCGUGAGUGAAGAAGGUUUUCGGAUCGUAAAGCUCUGUUGUAAGAGAAGAACGAGUGUGAGAGUGGAAAGUUCACACUGUGACGGUAUCUUACCAGAAAGGGACGGCUAACUACGUG